UACGUAGGGGGCAAGCGUUGUCCGGAUUUAUUGGGCGUAAAGAGCGUGUAGGCGGUCUGGUAGGUCCGUUGUGAAAACUCGAGGCUCAACCUCGAGACGCCGAUGGAAACCCUCAGACUAGAGUCCGGAAGAGGAGAGUGGAAUUCCUGGUGUAGCGGUGGAAUGCGCAGAUAUCAGGAAGAACACCCGUGGCGAAGGCGGCUCUCUGGAACGCAACUGACGCUGAGACGCGAAAGCGUGGGGAGCAAACAGG
Molecule: ribosomal RNA, 253 nt
Filed under: uncultured bacterium
Lineage: Bacteria
Description: partial 16S ribosomal RNA
Rfam family: Bacterial small subunit ribosomal RNA
Source: RNAcentral